CAAGACCAAAGUGGGGGACCUUCGGGCCUCAUGCCAUCAGAUGUGCCCAGAUGGGAUUAGCUAGUAGGUGGGGUAACGGCUCACCUAGGCGACGAUCCCUAGCUGGUCUGAGAGGAUGACCAGCCACACUGGAACUGAGACACGGUCCAGACUCCUACGGGAGGCAGCAGUGGGGAAUAUUGCACAAUGGGCGCAAGCCUGAUGCAGCCAUGCCGCGUGUGUGAAGAAGGCCUUCGGGUUGUAAAGCACUUUCAGCGGGGAGGAAGGCGUUAAGGUUAAUAACCUUGGCGAUUGACGUUACCCGCAGAAGAAGCACCGGCUAACUCCGUGCCAGCAGCCGCGGUAAUACGGAGGGUGCAAGCGUUAAUCGGAAUUACUGGGCGUAAAGCGCACGCAGGCGGUCUGUCAAGUCGGAUGUGAAAUCCCCGGGCUCAACCUGGGAACUGCAUUCGAAACUGGCAGGCUAGAGUCUUGUAGAGGGGGGUAGAAUUCCAGGUGUAGCGGUGAAAUGCGUAGAGAUCUGGAGGAAUACCGGUGGCGAAGGCGGCCCCCUGGACAAAGACUGACGCUCAGGUGCGAAAGCGUGGGGAGCAAACAGGAUUAGAUACCCUGGUAGUCCACGCCGUAAACGAUGUCGAUUUGGAGGUUGUGCCCUUGAGGCGUGGCUUCCGGAGCUAACGCGUUAAAUCGACCGCCUGGGGAGUACGGCCGCAAGGUUAAAACUCAAAUGAAUUGACGGGGGCCCGCACAAGCGGUGGAGCAUGUGGUUUAAUUCGAUGCAACGCGAAGAACCUUACCUGGUCUUGACAUCCACAGAACUUUCCAGAGAUGGAUUGGUGCCUUCGGGAACUGUGAGACAGGUGCUGCAUGGCUGUCGUCAGCUCGUGUUGUGAAAUGUUGGGUUAAGUCCCGCAACGAGCGCAACCCUUAUCCUUUGUUGCCAGCGGUUCGGCCGGGAACUCAAAGGAGACUGCCAGUGAUAAACUGGAGGAAGGUGGGGAUGACGUCAAGUCAUCAUGGCCCUUACGACCAGGGCUACACACGUGCUACAAUGGCAUAUACAAAGAGAAGCGACCUCGCGAGAGCAAGCGGACCUCAUAAAGUAUGUCGUAGUCCGGAUUGGAGUCUGCAACUCGACUCCAUGAAGUCGGAAUCGCUAGUAAUCGUAGAUCAGAAUGCUACGGUGAAUACGUUCCCGGGCCUUGUACACACCGCCCGUCACACCAUGGGAGUGGGUUGCAAAAGAAGUAGGUAGCUUAACCUUCGGGAGGGCGCUUACCACUUUGUGAUUCAUGACUGGGGUGAAGUCGUAACAAGGUAACCGUAGGGGAACCUGCGGUUGGAUCACCUCCUU
This 1354-nucleotide ribosomal RNA is filed under the name Klebsiella pneumoniae. RNAcentral describes it as "bacterial SSU rRNA". It matches the Rfam family "Bacterial small subunit ribosomal RNA", at positions 196 to 1532 of the family's 1533-position model. Lineage: Bacteria; Pseudomonadati; Pseudomonadota; Gammaproteobacteria; Enterobacterales; Enterobacteriaceae. The record is from RNAcentral.